RNA transcript from Balaenoptera musculus (blue whale), 3326 nucleotides. It is a transcript of the gene named tetratricopeptide repeat domain 39A, with no coding region annotated. The record is from RefSeq and is a predicted model, not a curated record. NCBI's taxonomy places the organism in Eukaryota, Metazoa, Chordata, Mammalia, Artiodactyla, Balaenopteridae. The transcript has 19 exons.
CCAGCGCCUCCAUCCAAGUCCGGCCUGCGUCCAUGGCCUUUCUGACCGCCUGGAAGGGGGCGGCCUCCGGGGAAAGCGACCGCAGGACUCCUGUGAACAGCCUCCACGAGUCCCUGGACCAGUGCAUGACCGCCCUGGACCUCUUCCUCACCAACCAGUUCUCAGAAGCACUCAGCUACCUCAAGCCCAGAACCAAGGAGAGCAUGUACCACUCACUGACGUAUGCCACCAUCCUGGAGAUGCAGGCCAUGAUGACCUUUGACCCCCAGGACAUCCUACUUGCUGGCAACAUGUUGAAGGAGGCCCAGUCUCUCUGUCAGAGGCACCGGAGGAAGUCCUCUGUAACAGAUUCCUUCAGCAGCCUGUUGCACCGCCCCACUAUGGACCAGUUCACGGAAGUGGAAAUCCACGCUGAGGUCUGCUACGCAGAGUGCCUGCUGCAGAGAGCAGCCCUGACCUUCCUGCAGGACGAGAACAUGGUGAGCUUCAUCAAGGGUGGCAUCAAAGUUCGAAACAGCUACCAGACCUACAAGGAGCUAGACAGCCUCGUGCAGUCCUCACAGUACUGCCAGGGAGAGAACCACAGGCACUUUGAAGGAGGAGUGAAGCUCGGUGUGGGAGCCUUCAACCUGACGCUGUCCAUGCUUCCUACCAGGAUCCUGCGGCUGCUAGAGUUCGUGGGGUUUUCAGGAAACAAGGACUACGGGCUGCUGCAGCUGGAGGAGGGGGCAUCGGGGCACAGCUUCCGCGCCGUGCUCUGUGUCAUGCUGCUGCUGUGCUACCACACCUUCCUCACCUUUGUGCUCGGCACUGGGAACGUCAACAUCGCGGAGGCAGAGAAGCUCUUGAGACCCUACCUGAAGCGAUACCCUAAGGGCGCCAUCUUCCUGUUCUUUGCGGGGCGGAUUGAAGCCAUUAAAGGCAAUGUUGACGCGGCCAUCCGGCGGUUCGAGGAGUGCUGCGAGGCCCAGCAGCACUGGAAGCAGUUCCACCACAUGUGCUACUGGGAGCUGAUGUGGUGCUUCACCUACAAGGGCCAGUGGAAGAUGGCCUACUUCUACGCAGACCUGCUCAGCAAGGAGAACUCCUGGUCCAAGGCCACCUACAUCUACAUGAAGGCCGCCUACCUCAGCAUGUUUGGGAAGGAGGACUACAAGCCGUUCGGGGAUGACGAAGUGGAGUUGUUUAGAGCUGUGCCGGGCCUGAAACUCAAGAUUGCUGGGAAAUCUCUACCCACAGAGAAGUUUGCCAUCCGGAAGUCCAGACGCUACCUCUCCCCAAAACCUAUCUCAUUGCCCAUCCCUGCUCUGGAAAUGAUGUACAUUUGGAAUGGCUACGCUGUGAUUGGGAAGCAGCCGGAACUCACAGACGGGAUACUUGAGAUUAUCACCAAGGCUGAAGAGUUGCUGGAAAAGGGCCCAGAGAAUGAGUACUCAGUGGAUGAUGAGUGCUUGGUGAAGCUGCUGAAAGGCCUGUGUCUGAAAUAUCUGGGCCGUGUCCAGGAGGCCGAGGAGAAUUUCAGGAGCAUCUCUGCCAACGAAAAGAGGAUUAAAUACGACCACUACUUGAUCCCAAAUGCCCUGCUGGAGCUGGCCCUGCUGUUUAUGGAGCAAGGCAGAAAUGAAGAGGCUAUCAAACUCUUGGAAACUGCCAAGCAAAAUUAUAAGAAUUAUUCCAUGGAAUCCAGGACACAUUUUCGAAUCCAGGCAGCCACACUCCAAGCCAAGUCUUCCCUAGAGAAUGGCAACAGAUCCAUGGUUUCAUCAAUGCCCUUGUAGUUUUGUGCAGCAUUCCCAGGCUGGAAGACAGAGUCAGCUGGACAGAGAGCUCCUGGAAACAUUUCAAAAAGAUCCCCUCCCCCUGCCCUGCCGUCGGGGUCCACCGGUGCUCCAGUGCGAUGACACGACAUGGGUAUCUGCGCAGAAGCGAAGCUGGCAUUUUCACCAGUGCGGCCGAGGGCCUUUGCCCAGGGCAGAGCAGCUGGAGCCCUCUGCCUGCCCUAUCACAUAUACGGACACCGAAAGUAGUUGGAGAGUCUUCUAAUACCUGAGAUGUCUUAUGAAGAACACUCAUAGCAUUUAAAAGGUUUGUGUGAACCAAACUACAAGUAUCUUAAAGUAUUUCAAAUUGUUCGGUUUACAUUUAAAAGAGUAAGAUUCUUUUAUUUUUUCCUGGUCAGGCUUUCCAGACAUCUCAAAUCCUACAGCUAAGCCUGAACAUAUCUUGCCCAAAUCCAAAUAUGUUGUACCUAUUAUUUGGCUUAAGAAAAUUUAGAAACUAUCAAGCUUCUAAAUUUAUGACUAGAUGGUAUUAAAUGCCAAGCCAUAAAAAAUACUUCCCCCAAAGUAUAUAUACCUAGAAAUUUUUAAGUAAAUUUAUACAUGUGUGUUUUAAAGAAAGGAUUAGAAUAUUCUUAUGUAAUCAAUUCUAACUUUAGCCCUUUACAACUGUAUUAUAUAACUUUAUUUAACUUGGUAAAAGCCAAAACUGAUGGUUCUUAACAUGGUAUGUGGAGAUCAAAAUUAAAGAAUACAAAAUACCUUAAAAAAAAAAAUAGCGUUCAGCUCAAUCCUGGUUCCUUCAAUAUUACUGCCAAACUUCUGUGAAAGAAGCCUUGUAAUAAAGACUAACAGCAACAUAGAAGAUGAUUAAAAAAAAAAGUUCAUUUACCAAUUUUAACAAUCUAGAAAAAAAGAAAGUGACUAUAAUACUUGAUGACAGACAUCAUGUUUAAGUAGAAAACACAAAGAUAAAAAAAGUAAUACCGCUGAAAAUAUUGCACAACUUCAGGUGUUUCCUCCAAAUUUGCUUUAUGUAAUUGGAUAUAAAUUAAUGAACAAAAACUUAAGCAAGGUACAUGUAACAAUUUAACAGAACCUGAUAAUCUAAUUUCUUUCAAUUUUUCUCAAACUCAUCAUGGGGCUCAUAAGAAAAUUAACCAACAUGGAUACUGCUACAGUUGAAUGUCAAAUCUUUAAGUGCUUAUGACAUACUAAAUUCUUCUAUAAUGCAAUUAUGAAGAACCCUUUGAGAAACUUGUGUUUUGUAUGUAGAAAAGUGUUAAAGUCAAAUAUUCAACUCAAUAUAAAAUAAAAAGAAACAUUUCUGAUUUGUUGGGUUGAGAUUGCUUCUCCUUUUGCUAAUGAAUGAUUUUUUAGCUGUAAUAUCACUGAGUUGAACAAAUAUGUCACCUUCGAGUACAUAAAGAAAAAUAAACACAUGCUAAAUGGAUAAAACAUUACAACUACAUCUUUACUAGACCAUCUCUACCUCUAACACUUCAGAAGCUUAGAGAUUCAGUGUUCUUAUAUUAACUGCAAGAAAAA